RNAcentral lists this ribosomal RNA (497 nucleotides) under uncultured bacterium. RNAcentral's name for it is "partial 16S ribosomal RNA". It matches the Rfam family "Bacterial small subunit ribosomal RNA", at positions 28 to 507 of the family's 1533-position model. The record is from RNAcentral.
GAUGAACGCUGGCGGCGUGCCUAAUACAUGCAAGUCGAGCGAACAGACGAGGAGCUUGCUCCUCUGACGUUAGCGGCGGACGGGUGAGUAACACGUGGAUAACCUACCUAUAAGACUGGGAUAACUUCGGGAAACCGGAGCUAAUACCGGAUAAUAUAUUGAACCGCAUGGUUCAAUAGUGAAAGACGGUUUUGCUGUCACUUAUAGAUGGAUCCGCGCCGCAUUAGCUAGUUGGGAAGGUAACGGCUUACCAAGGCAACUAUGCGUAGCCGACCUGAGUGGGUGGUCGGCCACACUGGAACUGGAACACGGUCCAGACUCCUACGGGAGGCAGCAGUAGGGAAUCGUCCGCAAUGGGCGAAAGCCUGACGGAGCAACGCCGCGUGAGUGAUGAAGGUCUUCGGAUCGUAAAACUCUGUUAUUAGGGAAGAACAAAUGUGUAAGUAACUAUGCACGUCUUGACGGUACCUAAUCAGAAAGCCACGGCUAACUACGUG